Aedes aegypti (yellow fever mosquito) is the source of this 1109-nucleotide long non-coding RNA. RefSeq lists it as uncharacterized. Lineage: Eukaryota; Metazoa; Arthropoda; Insecta; Diptera; Culicidae. The transcript has 3 exons. The record is from RefSeq and is a predicted model, not a curated record.
CUUGACCGUGCGAAAAGAUAUUUUCCCCUACUGGUAGUACACGAAUCUAGCCGUGAAGUUGGUUUUCCGCGUGAUUCCACGAUUUUACGCAGCACCGUGGUAAUUCCAUCUUUUGACGAUACGGAUUUUGUUGGCGGCUCCAACUCGCUAGAAUUCGAAGAGACUCUCCGAGCAUCAUCGGUAGACGACGUACUCAGUCAGUACGAACAGUAUGGUAGUACGCCACCAAGGACGAGAAUAAAGAAUAAAAGCAGAAGUUCCAGACAAAGAAUGGAGGGUGCCGUAAAGAUGAGAACCGGAGGACGACUAGCGCGGCCACGUGCUGAUCGACGGAAUACCGUCGAUUGUGCAAUUCUGAACCAGUUAAUAAUGGAACCGAAUGGGGAAGAGAAAGCACGCAGUGACAAGAGAUCAACUCAAUUACUACGUGACUCGGAGCGUGAGAUAAAAAUGGCAGCUGCAGUAAAUACAGUAUUUACAAGAAAUUCGGUUAAUUUUGGCCCGACAGUUGGUUCGAUUGAGGAACGAGCAGAAAGUAUGCCAAUUACGAAUGUUACUACAGGAAUAUCUCCGGCUGUGGUUCCAGCGUUGAUAGAAUCGUGUAAUCGUUUUAUGAGCGUCAAGUCACGACCCAUAGGCUGCAGAACGUCUGCUCCACCGUCUGCCUUUGCCAACUUCAGAGAUUGUUCGAUGAAUUCUGCAACAACAGAUAUACCUCAGAAUCGGAUUACAUUCCAUGAUACUUUUCCAAUCUGAUUAAACUCGGCAGCAUCGACAAGGAUCGGACUAGUAGAAACGUAAUCUCAACAGAAGAAAGGCUCUGGCAGACGCAUGCCAACGAUUUAAUAUGGCUAGAGCUACAAGCGUGGCACGCUGAUCGAACCGUUGAACAGCAGGACAAAAUUCUUUGUCAAGCUAGAAAUGAGAUAGAUGCGUUAUUAGAAGAAAUUAUGAACUUCCGUUUUCAGCGCCAUCUUGCCAGAAUGAACAGUGAUUUAAGCUUAGCCGAUAGUGGAUUUGGAUCUGAUGCAACAGCUUCAACGGCUAAUGUGGAUUCUGCUCCCAAAUUUUGCUUCGGAUGUUUGUCAAUGUAUUGUAAAGAUUGUUUA